UGUAAGCGGGACAGUCAUUUUUACGCCUCCAAAUUUUACUUUUUCUGAAUAAUAUUGAGUUAAAUUAGGGAAGUUGAUCCAUUAAUUCAUUUUAUGAGAAAUUUUUCCGUUGUGUGAAUUUUUCCUUCUUACUAUCAACUAGUUUUUCGAAUUGAGUUACCAAAAUGCUCCCGGCGUCACCCACAUCUAAGGAAUAUCUGUCAACUGUAACAACAUCUUCUCCUGAUAAAUAUGAAAUAAUGGGUAAGAUAACAGAGGGUGCUUAUGGAAUGAUUCUUAAAGCCUAUAAUAAAGAAGAUAAAAAUGCAGGGUUUUUCGCAAUAAAAACGAAUCGCCACAAAGGAUACGAAGGAGUUGUCACAGUCAAUGAUUAUAUUGAAGUAAAAGCUCUGAUGAAACUGAAGAAUGAAAGAAACAUAGUGCGUCUGAUCGAAUUAGUGCAGGAUGAAGAAAGAUUCGGUAUGGUCUUGGAGCUUUGCAAAACAGAUAUUGGAGAUAUUUUGCAUAACAGAAGAAUUCCAUUGCCAAUGUGUGAUAUAAAACUCAUCCUCAAAGAAAUACUGACCGGAGUCCGUGCUAUUCACAGACAAAACAUCUUUCAUCGGGAUAUAAAGCCACAAAACAUACUUCUUUCUUUGGAUGGCACUGUGAAAAUCACAGAUUUUGGAAAUUCAAUGGAUAAAGGUAUGGAAGAAUACGAUCCGAAUUGUUGUACAAUAUGGUAUAAAAGCCCUGAACUUUGCUUUGGCCAUACACAUUAUAAUGAGAAGAUAGAUAUCUGGAGUGUCGGAUGUUUGGCAGUGGAGUGUUGGAAACGUACCAUCUUCUUCCGUGGAGAAGAUGACAUGACCCACAUGGAAAAGGUCUCCGAAGUGUGUGGAUUCUGCGACGAGUCCGAAUGGCCUGAAGUGAAAGAAUUCCCCAACUACGCGCAAAUGAGUGAGGCAUUCGGCAGCAAAUUCAAGGAGAAUAAACUUGAGACCUGUCUAAUACAUUUGACACGUCACACGGGAGCAGCCAAGUUUUUGUGCAAAUUGAUCAAGCUGACCCCGUCAAAACGACUGACCGCUGCUGAAGCACUUGACGACCCUUUCUUCCAGUCUGUACCGGCACCGUCCAAUGAUCUCUCCAAUGUUAUCGCCGCCCUCAACAACCUGCAACUCCCAGGCGUCGAAUAGAGAUGCAUUCCUGUUUUCGUUGAUAUUAUCUGGACUACCUACCGUUUUCAAGUUUGACACCAUCAUCUAUAGAAUUAAGUACACCUACCAGACUUCAAGUGUCACACAGCAAUAAUUGAGAGCAAUUUCAAAGACUGGACAAUUUCAUAAAGUUCCUACAUCGAACAUAAUUUUAAGCAUAAUUAAACCUAUUGAAAUUGAAAAUUGUAAAUUAAGAGUUUUUUAAAUGUUAAAUUUCCAAAAUCUUGUUCGUACAGUUCAAUACCAUACAUUAUUUUUGAUAUUAGUGACUAAGACAAUGGACAAAAUUAUUAUUACCUACAUGGAGAAUAUAGUGUUAUGAUAAUUAUUGCCGUGUGAUACCAGUGACUUUCUGUGAUUUAGAUAUGAUUACCAAGAAGAUAAUUAUUAGAAGAUUGUUACCUAGAUGGAGGAGAUAGUGUUGUGAUAUUACCAUGGGUUGCCAGUAGAUUUCUGUGAUCUACAUGUUAUAUAAGAGAGAAAUGAGUUAAAAGAUCUGGAACUAUAAUAAAGUGAUUAUAGUGUGUAGUGUGAUGGUUUAUAGUAUAGAAAAAGAAGUGUUAUAUGCGGUAGGUAGUGGAUAUUUAUAAUAGUUUUGUUGUUUAUUUGAGUUCAUGUUCUUUGUUUGUUUUCUGGAGUUAUUUAAAAUAACUCAAAAUUUGUUUUUUGUUACAUUUGAAAUGAAUUAAGUUAGAUGAACGUUCGUGAAAAGUUCCUAUCAAUAAUUCAGAAAUUUGUUCAAGAUAAAAUAACAAAAUUUGUACUUUGUUGCUUUUGAAAUCAAUUGAGGUGGCUGAACUUUGUACUUUGUUGCUUUUCAAAUUAAUUAUGUUAGAUGAAUUACGUUCCUGAAAAGGGUUACUACCAAAAUAUCUGUUAUAAAAUAACAAAAUUUGUUCUUUGUUGCAUUCGAAAUGAAUUAAGUUAGAUGAAAAGGGUUGCUACUAAAAAAUCAGAAAUUUGUUCAAUAUA
This is an RNA transcript of Nilaparvata lugens (brown planthopper), 2171 nucleotides long. It is a transcript of the gene named cell division control protein 2 homolog 1-like, with no coding region annotated. Lineage: Eukaryota; Metazoa; Arthropoda; Insecta; Hemiptera; Delphacidae. The record is from RefSeq and is a predicted model, not a curated record. The transcript has 3 exons.